AGUAACACGUAGGUGACCUACCCCAAAGAGGGGGAUAACGGCCCGAAAGGGCUGCUAAUACCCCAUGUGAUUAACGAUUCGGUUCGUUAAUGAAAGCUUCCGCAAGGAGUGUGCUUUGGGAGGGGCCUGCGGCGGAUUAGAUUGUUGGUGGGGUAAUGGCCUACCAAGUCGAUGAUCCGUAGCUAGUCUGAGAGGACGAUUAGCCACACUGGCACUGACACACGGGCCAG
RNAcentral lists this ribosomal RNA (230 nucleotides) under uncultured bacterium. RNAcentral describes it as "partial 16S ribosomal RNA". It matches the Rfam family "Bacterial small subunit ribosomal RNA", at positions 109 to 334 of the family's 1533-position model. The record is from RNAcentral.